AUAUAGGUCACAGGUAAGGUUUAAAAAUAAAGGUCACAGGUAAGGUUUAAAAAUAAGGGUCACAGGUAAGGUUUAAAAAUAAAGGUCACAGGUAAGGUUUGAAAAUGUAAAGGAAAGUGAUCGAAAUGAAAAGAUUAAUGUAAUAAAAAACCCUCUGAGAGGGCAAUAACUGGAACAGAUCAAUUAUAGUAAAUAAUUCUUAUUACACUUCCAUACAGACGCCAUGAAUUCAGCACAUGACAGCUAAAAGAUAAAAAGUGAUCCAAUUUUAUCGGAAAUGAAUAUCAUCGAAGAAAAGUAUACAUCUCCCGUUAAAGAAAUAUUCCUCACAAGUUGGGAAAUUGUUGACUGUUCUGUGUGUACUUAUGACUAUUGUCAGUACUUUAUGAUUUGUUAGUAAUGAAUUAUUUUGUUACACUGUAUACAAAUCUAUUGUUAUACAUAUGGUAACAGGAGGAUGAGGAUGAACUACCCUACUGUUCUAUCUGUACUGAGGAUGCCAUGGUUCGCUGUCAUGGCUGUGAUAUGGAUCUUUACUGUAGUCAGUGUUGGAAUAAAAGCCACAAAGACUUCCAAAUGGAAGACCAUGUCACAUCAAAAUACAUAGCCCCUAAGGGGAUUACUUGAUUGAUGGCGAAAGGUCUUUUCUUCAAGCCAAGAGACAAUAUUACAUUGUAUCUAUACUACAUGGGAAUCACUUGAUUGAUGGCAAAGAACUUUUCUUUAACCCCGGACUCUAACCUUACUAGAGGAGGAAGUAUUUGAUCAGUAGCAUAGUCAUGAAUUAACCAUUAUCUACACCGGAAUUUAAUCCUCUCCAAAGGAGUUACUGUUGUGUAAGCUAGAAUUAAUGGACUAUUCCCUUAUCAACAUGUAAGCCAGAAAUUAAUAUUCUCCACGAAACAAUUUAGCAAUAAAUAUUCUCAAAGGAAGAAUUCAGCAGUUAUUACCCGGUGGUAUGCUCAAAGAAGUUUGUGGCUAUUAAAUAAAUAUUCUCAAUGGAAGAUUGAUGUUACCAAUUAAUAUUCACAAAAAGAAGAAUUUAGUGUUUAUAAUUGUGCUCAAAAGAAAAAGAUACCAAUUCAUUUUCUCAAAGGAAUAAGUUAGUGAUUUCUUUGCCAUAAUUGUCUAUUUCAAAUGCCAGAAGAUAAGUUUUGCUUCCAAUUUUAUGUGUUUAUAUUAUACAGCAUUGUUAAACCUGUUUAUUAAAAAGCUUUUAUAUAUGUUGUUGACACAUUGUGUGUAUAUGUCGCUCACAGUGGUCCAAGGAUCAGGAACUAACCACGGUAGUAAAUACAGAAUUCACGUUUUAUUUGCCUUGAUGUAAGGAAUAAAUUAUUAUUGAUGACAAAAAA
This is a long non-coding RNA of Pecten maximus, 1355 nucleotides long. RefSeq lists it as uncharacterized. The transcript is spliced from 2 exons. The record is from RefSeq and is a predicted model, not a curated record. Lineage: Eukaryota; Metazoa; Mollusca; Bivalvia; Pectinida; Pectinidae.